AUUGAACGCUGGCGGCAGGCUUAACACAUGCAAGUCGAGCGGGGGAAGGUAGCUUGCUACUGGACCUAGCGGCGGACGGGUGAGUAAUGCUUAGGAAUCUGCCUAUUAGUGGGGGACAACAUCUCGAAAGGGAUGCUAAUACCGCAUACGUCCUACGGGAGAAAGCAGGGGAUCUUCGGACCUUGCGCUAAUAGAUGAGCCUAAGUCGGAUUAGCUAGUUGGUGGGGUAAAGGCCUACCAAGGCGACGAUCUGUAGCGGGUCUGAGAGGAUGAUCCGCCACACUGGGACUGAGACACGGCCCAGACUCCUACGGGAGACAGCAGUGGGGAAUAUUGGACAAUGGGGGGAACCCUGAUCCAGCCACGCCGCGUGUGUGAAGAAGGCCUUAUGGUUGUAAAGCACUUUAAGCGAGGAGGAGGCUACUUUAGUUAAUACCUAGAGAUAGUGGACGUUACUCGCAGAAUAAGCACCGGCUAACUCUGUGCCAGCAGCCGCGGUAA
RNAcentral lists this ribosomal RNA (501 nucleotides) under uncultured bacterium. RNAcentral describes it as "partial 16S ribosomal RNA". It matches the Rfam family "Bacterial small subunit ribosomal RNA", at positions 30 to 523 of the family's 1533-position model. The record is from RNAcentral.